This 532-nucleotide ribosomal RNA is filed under the name uncultured bacterium. RNAcentral describes it as "bacterial SSU rRNA". It matches the Rfam family "Bacterial small subunit ribosomal RNA", at positions 791 to 1319 of the family's 1533-position model. The record is from RNAcentral.
UAGUCCACGCCGUAAACGAUGAGAACUAGCCGUUGGGGGCUUCGGCCUUUGGUGGCGCAGCUAACGCGAUAAGUUCUCCGCCUGGGGAGUACGGCCGCAAGGUUAAAACUCAAAUGAAUUGACGGGGGCCCGCACAAGCGGUGGAGCAUGUGGUUUAAUUCGAUGCAACGCGAAGAACCUUACCAGCCCUUGACAUCUUCGGAACUUGGUAGAGAUACCUUGGUGCCUUCGGGAACCGAAUGACAGGUGUUGCAUGGCUGUCGUCAGCUCGUGUCGUGAGAUGUUGGGUUAAGUCCCGUAACGAGCGCAACCCUUGUCCCUAUUUGCCAGCACUUCGGGUGGGAACUCUAGGGAGACUGCCGGUGACAAACCGGAGGAAGGUGGGGAUGACGUCAAGUCAUCAUGGGCCCUUAUGGGGUAGGGGCUACACACGUGCUACAAUGGUCGGUACAGAGGGGUUGCCAACCCGCGAGGGGGAGCGUAAUCUCACAAAACCGAUCGUAGUCCGGAUUGGAGUCUGCAACUCGACUCC